CUCUUACAGUGAGAACUAGGAGUGGAAGCCACGUCAAUGAGUACUUGAAGUACCCUCUGACCUUUCAGAGACUGAGUUUUCUUGCAGUACAACCACACAAGCUCUGUAGCUUUUCUACAUCCCAAGAACCAGAAGUACAUUCAUUAGACUGUUGAAGGUACAAAUGCUGUGUAUUCUUCUUUCAGCUGAAUGAGAAACUCAUCAUCGCAUGCUCUGAGCCAUCAGGAAGUGAACCUCAAAUUGGGAUCUGAGUGUCUUGGUUGGUACAAGUUGUUGUUCCUUGUGCAAAGAGAAGACCUUUCCUUUGGCUCAGAGAUGGCAUCACUGCAUCAGUUGAGUGGUUACCUGGAUUGGAAGAUGGUAAAAAGCAAUUGCUGCUGGGCUUUUUUUGUACAGCAGAAAGAGGUCGCAAUCUUCCCUGUGGACUGUGGUGGUUAUUCCCCCAAACUUAUGCCUUUUGCCAGCUUGGUGAUAGAACUUCGGGGUUUCAGUGGAGCAGGUGUCAAAGCACACAGCCAAGGAAUGGAGCUGAAGGCAUAAUUCUUAGUCUGAGACCUUAAGUAUGGGCACAGUUGUAAUCUGAGAAAAUCAUGAAUGUCACCAAUGCAUUCUGGUAAAGUGAUAGCUAUAAAAUGAAAGAUUUAAAGGAAGCAAUCAUAAUGGUUAACAGCAGUAUGAAAAAGCUUAAACAUGUUCAUAAAUUUCAAUAACUGCUGAGCAAUAUACUGGAUUCAUCUAGGAGAGAUUUAAUUUGAAAAAUGCUAAAUAGGAGGAACAGACUGGAAACAGACAUUCCUCCUGAAGAUGAAGCCUUUUGGUGAGAAAUUUACAUUGCACUUCAGCUGAAGCGAUACUAAAUGUGAGUACAAUGUGUUAGAAAAGGAAUUAUAAAAUAAAUUGUGGAAGGAGGUUUUUAAAUUUGCACGUUAAGGAAAAAAAGCUUUAUUUUGUAUUCUCACUUCAGAUGAUGAUCGUGUCUUGAUGUAUAAGUGCCCAUGCAUGCUGAAAUAAAUGAAAAUAACAAAAAAAAAUGGUAUUAACUACAUAGAUUUUUAAUAGAAAAAGAAAAUGACUGAAGUCUUAUCACAGGGAAGUAUAAACAUAUAUGCUUGUGAGCAAGUAUCCAGAACAUACGCAUCGAUUUCAACAAUGCAUAAUAUAUAGAAUACAAAUGCUUUAGAUGAAUUUCAAAUUUGCUGUGUUUAAAAUUAAUUGUAUUCUGAGACGGAGCCUUUCAUUGCAGAUAGUUUUAGCAAGAUGCAUCAGUGCACUAAGAUUUUUUGAAAUGGUGAAUACCUUCUUUGUGUUGCUAAUUGCAGCUGUGCAGUCUGCAAAUGAAGGAUAUCCAGCAUCUUAUUUCCCAUUUCAAUCAUUUUAUUCCUGUUGAU
Molecule: long non-coding RNA, 1388 nt
Filed under: Gallus gallus (chicken)
Lineage: Eukaryota; Metazoa; Chordata; Aves; Galliformes; Phasianidae
Description: lncRNA (ENSGALG00010026211.1)
Source: RNAcentral